GAUGAACGCUGGCGGCGUGCCUAAUACAUGCAAGUCGAGCGAACAGAUGAGGAGCUUGCUCCUCUGACGUUAGCGGCGGACGGGUGAGUAACACGUGGAUAACCUACCUAUAAGACUGGGAUAACUUCGGGAAACCGGAGCUAAUACCGGAUAAUAUAUUGAACCGCAUGGUUCAAUAGUGAAAGACGGUUUUGCUGUCACUUAUAGAUGGAUCCGCGCCGCAUUAGCUAGUUGGUAAGGUAACGGCUUACCAAGGCAACGAUGCGUAGCCGACCUGAGAGGGGGAUGGGCCACACUGGAACUGAGACACGGUCCAGACUCCUACGGGAGGCAGCAGUAGGGAAUCUUCCGCAAUGGGCGAAAGCCUGACGGAGCAACGCCGCGUGAGUGAUGAAGGUCUUCGGAUCGUAAAACUCUGUUAUUAGGGAAGAACAAAUGUGUAAGUAACUAUGCACGUCUUGACGGUACCUAAUCAGAAAGCCACGGCUAACUACGUG
RNAcentral lists this ribosomal RNA (497 nucleotides) under uncultured bacterium. RNAcentral describes it as "partial 16S ribosomal RNA". It matches the Rfam family "Bacterial small subunit ribosomal RNA", at positions 28 to 507 of the family's 1533-position model. The record is from RNAcentral.